GUAAAUGAAUAAGUCAAUGUAUGUUAAGCACCUAACAAAAUGCCUUACACAUAAAAACCAUAAAUUGCCAACAUCACCAAUUCAGGCAGAUCAUAGUGCUUGUCUCACAAAGUUUCAAAGAUUCACUAGGGAAAUGUAUAAGUCCAUAGAAUAAUAUAUUAGAAAAAUAAAUGGAAUUUUUUUACCCACAAGUUUGAGCUCCUGAGUAUCUUCCCCCCAGGUGCUCUGGCCCAGGGAGAUGGGAGUUUUAUCUAUAAGCCCCUGACUGGGCCUGUUGCCUUUCUUUCAGAGAUGCCCUGCCCAGAGAGGAAGAAUCUAGAGAGGCAGUCUGGCUACAGCAGCUUUGCAGAGCUGUGGUGGGCAUCACCCAGUCCAAACUUGGGAUAUUCUAAAGAAUAAUCUGUAGAGCCCUUGCCUUUCAAUAGCCUACAAUAGAGUAGGAGGAAUACAAUGGCACAUUUAAGCCAUAAGACAAGGCAAGAUGAUACUUAAUUACCAUAAGUACUAAAUUAUGAGGUACAGACUAUUAGUACUGUAAAAUGUACUGGGUUCCCAGAAUACUCUCCUUCCUAUCUGAGUGGUAGUUACAUGGGUAUUCUUUUCACAACCUGUUUUAAAACUGUGCACAUGUUUUAUUUACCUGUUUUAAAAUCAUAAUUCACAAUAAAAAUGUUAAGUGAUAGAAAGAGAAGGAGAAGAAUAAGGCCUGGAAUAACUGGAAUAAAAACUUGUGGGGAAAAUAUAACUUAAGAAUUGGCACAGAAGAGAGAGCAGAUCAAUACAAAUGCAAAUGUAGCACAGCUGUGGAUGAGUUGGGGUGCCUACAGUUUCAGAAAUGUAGUUUGGCUUUCUAGAAAACAUAAAUCCAUUUGAGUCUAAAAUAUUUUAAAACCUAAAUAAAAUCCUUAUCCCCAUGAGAUGAUAUGGACAAGUAUUAAUUGCUUUCUCCUAUAUUACCUUGACCCUGAGGACUUUGCAUACAUAUUCACUAAUCCAUUUAAAAUGAGUUUUGAGGAAUCACUGACAACUGGAGAUAAUCCAGAUGACUAGAAACAAUACUAUAGCUUCUUAAGAAAGAGAAUAUCCUUGGUAAUUGCUAUCCUUCUAUGGAUGACAUUGCAUUUGAGAUACGUCAUUCAAAUAUGUAUAUACAUACAUAUUCGAAUAUGUAUGUAUAUACAUAUUUGAAUGAUAAACAUUUCUGAAGUUUUACACACACAUGCACACACACACGCACACACACUUUUUUGGGGGGGGACAGGGUCCUGCUCUGUUGCCCAAGCUUAAGUUCAGUGUCAUGAUCCUCCCACCUUAGUCUCUCAAUUAGCUGGGGUCACAGGCACAUGCCAUCAUGCUCGGCUAAUUUUUAAAAAAAAUUUUGGUAGAGCUUCAAAGAGUAUUAUGGCUUGAGGUCUUACAUUUAAAUCUUUCAUCCAUCUCAAAUUUAUUUUUGUAUAUGGUGACAGGUAGGGGUCCAGUUUCAUUCUUCAGGAUAUGGCUAAGCCUCCUUAGUAGCUGGGACUACAGGCACACCCCACCAUGUCUGGCUAAUUUUUUUUAUUUUUGGUAAAGACGGGGUCUCACUAUGUUGCCCAGACUGGUCUUGACUUGUCCUUCUCUGUAUCUUGAGCACCUAACACAGUGCUAGGAAGUAGGUGCUUAAUAAGUGCUUGUGGAAUGCUAAAAGAUUAUUUAACCUCUUUCCUAGAAACGAAGACCCAGAUUCAUAGGAGCUUAACCUAAUGCAUGAAAAAGAGAGAUCUCAACACAUCCAGUGUCAAGUAGGGUACCCCAUCCUAGUCAAUAUAUUUUUCAUCAUGACAAAUAAGGUGAGAAAAUACAUGGUUAAAUUAUAUACAUUGCUCAAAACAAAAUACAUAGAUCUAAACUGGUGAGCUUUAAUUGAUUUUUGAUAAGUAUUGAAAUAAAUAUAUCAAGAAAGUUAAAUGUUGUUUUUUUAAAAAACAGCUUUUUAAUAACACAGUGAUUAAUGGCAAGUGAUAGGUAAAUAUUACUG
Molecule: long non-coding RNA, 2017 nt
Filed under: Homo sapiens (human)
Lineage: Eukaryota; Metazoa; Chordata; Mammalia; Primates; Hominidae
Description: non-protein coding lnc-SLC30A7-8:1
Source: RNAcentral